Molecule: long non-coding RNA, 682 nt
Organism: Exaiptasia diaphana
Lineage: Eukaryota; Metazoa; Cnidaria; Anthozoa; Actiniaria; Aiptasiidae
Exons: 3
Source: RefSeq, a predicted model, not a curated record
UUCGUGACGUUGUGGUAGGGGUGAGGAGAUAUCGUCAUUAAGACAGGGAUCCCAGAUGGCUUUAUGAACGAAGCAUGUAUGGGAUAUUUGAUGGAUGGUUUUGUUGUGACGUCAACCAAUUGAAUUCCUCAUAUACGAGUGGAGUUUACCUUAUACCAAUGGUUCGAUUGGUAUCUAUUCGUGACCUCGGGAUGUUGUGGUAGGGAUGAGGAGAUAUCGUCAUUAAGACAGGGAUCCCAGAUGGCUUUAUGAACGAAGCAUGUAUGGAUUAUUUGAUGGAUGGUUUGUUGUGACGUCAACCAAUUGAAUUCCUCAUAUACGAGUGGAGUUUACCUUAUACCAAUGGUUCGAUUGGUAUCUAUUCGUGACCUCGGGAUGUUGUGGUAGGGGUGAGGAGAUAUCGUCAUUAAGACAGGGAUACCAGAUGGCUUUAUGAACGAAGCAUGUAUGGAUUAUUUGAUGGAUGGUUUGUUGUGACGUCAACCAAUUGAAUUCCUCAUAUACGAGUGGAGUUUACCUUAUACCAAUGGUUCGAUUGGUAUCUAUUCGUGACCUCGGGAUGUUGUGGUAGGGGUGAGGAGAUAUCGUCAUUAAGACAGGGAUACCAGAUGGCUUUAUGAACGAAGCAUGUAUGGAUUAUUUGAUGGAUGGUUUGUUGUGACGUCAACCAAUUGAAUUCCUC